AAAUUGAAGAGUUUGAUCAUGGCUCAGAUUGAACGCUGGCGGCAGGCCUAACACAUGCAAGUCGAACGGUAACAGGAAGCAGCUUGCUGCUUCGCUGACGAGUGGCGGAUGGGUGAGUAAUGUCUGGGAAACUGCCUGAUGGAGGGGGAUAACUACUGGAAACGGUAGCUAAUACCGCAUAAUGUCGCAAGACCAAAGAGGGGGACCUUCGGGCCUCUUGUCAUCGGAUGUGCCCAGAUGGGAUUAGCUUGUUGGUGGGGUAACGGCUCACC
RNAcentral lists this ribosomal RNA (272 nucleotides) under Escherichia coli. RNAcentral's name for it is "partial 16S ribosomal RNA". It matches the Rfam family "Bacterial small subunit ribosomal RNA", at positions 1 to 269 of the family's 1533-position model. The record is from RNAcentral. Lineage: Bacteria; Pseudomonadati; Pseudomonadota; Gammaproteobacteria; Enterobacterales; Enterobacteriaceae.